This is a long non-coding RNA of Hydra vulgaris (swiftwater hydra), 1174 nucleotides long. RefSeq lists it as uncharacterized. NCBI's taxonomy places the organism in Eukaryota, Metazoa, Cnidaria, Hydrozoa, Anthoathecata, Hydridae. The record is from RefSeq and is a predicted model, not a curated record.
AUUUCUAGUUAUUAAAACAGUUGAAGCAUGAGAUUUAUUUAGUAAACUAUGCGUAUUAUAACAGAAACGUUGAAAAAACCCAGUCAAUUAAUUACAUCAUGCACCCCAAAGACCAAAAAUACCUCCACUAAGGAAAAGUUUAUCACAAAUUUGGUUAAAAAAAUUAAAGUUUUGUUUUUCACAAAGUAAGGAAUUGAGUGAACCAAGGUUUCGAAUUAUUCCAAGGCUUCAAUUACCGUUGUUUUUUGUAAUGAACUUAACAACUGUGUUUAUGCAGAUAAAACACAAACACGACAAGCGGAUCAAUACGAAUAAUGUAUUUAUAAAACUUUGGACAUUCCAUCAUAAAGUAAAACAGCGUGCUAUGACUUUUAAAUAAUCGAGCCUUAAUCACAAGGCUCACUUAUUAGCAAAUAAAAUGGAAGCUUUCUUAAUUUAAGUUAAUGAUCAACAAUUAUUAAAACCAAUGAACUUCCAGAUUAUUGACAUUUCAGAGCAUUUAAAUGGGCAAUGGCAGGAUACGUAUAGGCAAGUUAAAAAUGUAGAACUCAUUGCUAUAAAUCAAUGUAUACCUAUUUUAAAUCCAUUUAAAUAAAAAAAAUAGUUUAUUUAUGAAACAUGCGAUUAAUAUUUCUUUUGUAUUUUUUAUAAAUCCAUCAAAACAAACCACAUCAUUAUGAUUAUUGAAAAUAAUAAUGCACGACGACAACCUAUAUGAUAAGAUUGAAUAUGUGCACGCUAAAGUAAAAGAAUCAGAGGCAGAGGUAAAGAGAUAAGCUUAAAAGCGAUAGAAGAAUUCUAGUAAAUCCGAGGAACCGACUUACACAAACAAAUUAAAAAAUAAAAAUAAAAAAAGAUUAUCUACAGAAUGAACAUCAAAAAAUGCGUUUUAGUAACAACCAUUUUUAUUUCAUGUUUAUCAGCAAAACCAUUAAUUGAUGUGGAAAACAUUGAUUUGUCCAAAGUAGCUGCUGAUUUCACAGCCGCAAUUACGCUCACAGAAAAGUAUGUAAGCGAAGGCAAAAGAAAACCAAUAAACUCAAAGACGGAGUUCGAAAUCGGCUUCGGAUGUAAUUUUGAUUGUGCCAAUAAAGAAAUACUUAGAGAAUUGCUGUCUGACUCAGACGAAAAAAAAGAAAGUAAUAUUUUUGGAGAAAUUGAUUUUUACAAACAA